CAGUCGCCGCGGGAAUACAGAGGGUGCGAGCGUUAAUCGGAUUUGCUGGGCGUAAAGCGUGCGUAGGCGGCUUCUUAAGUCGGAUGUGAAAUCCCUGAGCUUAACUUAGGAAUUGCAUUCGAUACUGGGAAGCUAGAGUAUGGGAGAGGAUGGUAGAAUUCCAGGUGUAGCGGUGAAAUGCGUAGAGAUCUGGAGGAAUACCGAUGGCGAAGGCAGCCAUCUGGCCUAAUACUGACGCUGAGGUACGAAAGCAUGGGGAGCAAACAGGAUUAGAUACCCCGGUAGUCCCUGUCUCUUAUAC
RNAcentral lists this ribosomal RNA (301 nucleotides) under uncultured bacterium. RNAcentral's name for it is "partial 16S ribosomal RNA". It matches the Rfam family "Bacterial small subunit ribosomal RNA", at positions 509 to 807 of the family's 1533-position model. The record is from RNAcentral.